This 468-nucleotide ribosomal RNA is filed under the name uncultured bacterium. RNAcentral describes it as "partial 16S ribosomal RNA". It matches the Rfam family "Bacterial small subunit ribosomal RNA", at positions 28 to 507 of the family's 1533-position model. The record is from RNAcentral.
GACGAACGCUGGCGGCGUGCUUAACACAUGCAAGUCGAACGGCAAGGCCCUGCUUUUGUGGGGUGCUCGAGUGGCGAACGGGUGAGUAACACGUGAGUAACCUGCCCUUGACUUUGGGAUAACUUCAGGAAACUGGGGCUAAUACCGGAUAGGAGCUCCUGCUGCAUGGUGGGGGUUGGAAAGUUUCGGCGGUUGGGGAUGGACUCGCGGCUUAUCAGCUUGUUGGUGGGGUAGUGGCUUACCAAGGCUUUGACGGGUAGCCGGCCUGAGAGGGUGACCGGCCACAUUGGGACUGAGAUACGGCCCAGACUCCUACGGGAGGCAGCAGUGGGGAAUAUUGCACAAUGGGCGGAAGCCGGAUGCAGCAACGCCGCGUGCGGGAUGACGGCCUUCGGGUUGUAAACCGCUUGCGCCUGUGACGAAGCGUGAGUGACGGUAAUGGGUAAAGAAGCACCGGCUAACUACGUG